This 433-nucleotide ribosomal RNA is filed under the name uncultured bacterium. Its description in RNAcentral is "partial 16S ribosomal RNA". It matches the Rfam family "Bacterial small subunit ribosomal RNA", at positions 29 to 507 of the family's 1533-position model. The record is from RNAcentral.
AACGAACGCUGGCGGCAUGCCUAACACAUGCAAGUCGAACGAGACCUUCGGGUCUAGUGGCGCACGGGUGCGUAACGCGUGGGAACCUGCCCUUAGGUUCGGAAUAACUCCCCGAAAGGGGUGCUAAUACCGGAUAAUGUCUUCGGACCAACGAUUUAUCGCCUUUGGAUGGGCCCGCGUUGGAUUAGCUAGUUGGUAGGGUAAAAGCCUACCAAGGCGACGAUCCAUAGCUGGUCUGAGAGGAUGAUCAGCCACACUGGGACUGAGACACGGCCCAGACUCCUACGGGAGGCAGCAGUGGGGAAUAUUGGAAAAUGGGCGAAGGCCUGAUCCAGCAAUGCCGCGUGAGUGAUGAAGGCCUUAGGGUUGUAAAGCUCUUUUACCCGGGAUGAUAAUGACAGUACCGGGAGAAUAAGCUCCGGCUAACUCCGUG